UUUGACGUUAGCGACAGAAGAAGCACCGGCUAACUCCGUGCCAGCAGCCGCGGUAAUACGGAGGGUGCGAGCGUUAAUCGGAAUUACUGGGCGUAAAGCGCAUGCAGGUGGUUUGUUAAGUCAGAUGUGAAAGCCCGGGGCUCAACCUCGGAAUUGCAUUUGAAACUGGCAGACUAGAGUACUGUAGAGGGGGGUAGAAUUUCAGGUGUAGCGGUGAAAUGCGUAGAGAUCUGAAGGAAUACCGGUGGCGAAGGCGGCCCCCUGGACAGAUACUGACACUCAGAUGCGAAAGCGUGGGGAGCAAACAGGAUUAGAUACCCUGGUAGUCCACGCCGUAAACGAUGUCUACUUGGAGGAUGUGGCCUUGAGCCGUGGCUUUCGGAGCUAACGCGUUAAGUAGACCGCCUGGGGAGUACGGUCGCAAGAUUAAAACUCAAAUGAAUUGACGGGGGCCCGCACAAGCGGUGGAGCAUGUGGUUUAAUUCGAUGCAACGCGAAGAACCUUACCUACUCUUGACAUCCAGAGAACUUUCCAGAGAUGGAUUGGUGCCUUCGGGAACUCUGAGACAGGUGCUGCAUGGCUGUCGUCAGCUCGUGUUGUGAAAUGUUGGGUUAAGUCCCGCAACGAGCGCAACCCUUAUCCUUGUUUGCCAGCGAGUAAUGUCGGGAACUCCAGGGAGACUGCCGGUGAUAAACCGGAGGAAGGUGGGGACGACGUCAAGUCAUCAUGGCCCUUACGAGUAGGGCUACACACGUGCUACAAUGGCGCAUACAGAGGGCGGCCAACUUGCGAAAGUGAGCGAAUCCC
RNAcentral lists this ribosomal RNA (808 nucleotides) under Vibrio parahaemolyticus 3646. RNAcentral's name for it is "bacterial SSU rRNA". It matches the Rfam family "Bacterial small subunit ribosomal RNA", at positions 468 to 1275 of the family's 1533-position model. Lineage: Bacteria; Pseudomonadati; Pseudomonadota; Gammaproteobacteria; Vibrionales; Vibrionaceae. The record is from RNAcentral.